GGAACCCUGAUUGAAUUGGACUUUAUUUGCGCAGCAUAAGUGGAAAGGAUUGAAAUUACUCUUGGGGGAUUAUUGGAGCCAUCAGUGAGAUACCACUCCUAUAAUGUUAGAUUUCUAACUUUGGAUCAUGAUCUGGUCAAAGAACAGUUUCAGGCGGGCAGUUUGACUGGGGCGGUCGCCUCCCAAAUGGUAACGGAGGCGUACAAAGGUUUCCUCUGAACGGGUAGAAAUCGUAUCUAGAGUGUAAAGGCAUAAGGAAGCUUGACUGUGAGACCUACAAGUCGAGCAGGGACGAAAGUCGGUCUUAGUGAUCUGACGGUGCUGAGUGGAAAGGCCGUCACUCAACGGAUAAAAGUUACUCUAGGGAUAACAGGCUGAA
Molecule: ribosomal RNA, 379 nt
Filed under: uncultured organism
Description: bacterial LSU rRNA
Rfam family: Bacterial large subunit ribosomal RNA
Source: RNAcentral